UGCAGUCGAACGGUGAAAGAGGAGCUUGCUCCUCUGGAUCAGUGGCGAACGGGUGAGUAACACGUGAGUAACCUGCCCCAGACUCUGGGAUAAGCACUGGAAACGGUGUCUAAUACCGGAUACGAGCUUCAGCCGCAUGGCUAGGAGCUGGAAAGAAUUUCGGUCUGGGAUGGACUCGCGGCCUAUCAGCUAGUUGGUGAGGUAAUGGCUCACCAAGGCGACGACGGGUAGCCGGCCUGAGAGGGUGACCGGCCACACUGGGACUGAGACACGGCCCAGACUCCUACGGGAGGCAGCAGUGGGGAAUAUUGCACAAUGGGCGCAAGCCUGAUGCAGCAACGCCGCGUGAGGGACGACGGCCUUCGGGUUGUAAACCUCUUUUAGUAGGGAAGAAGCGAAAGUGACGGUACCUGCAGAAAAAGCACCGGCUAACUACGUGCCAGCAGCCGCGGUAAUACGUAGGGUGCAAGCGUUAUCCGGAAUUAUUGGGCGUAAAGAGCUCGUAGGCGGUUUGUCGCGUCUGCUGUGAAAACUGGAGGCUCAACCUCCAGCCUGCAGUGGGUACGGGCAGACUAGAGUGCGGUAGGGGAGAUUGGAAUUCCUGGUGUAGCGGUGGAAUGCGCAGAUAUCAGGAGGAACACCGAUGGCGAAGGCAGAUCUCUGGGCCGUAACUGACGCUGAGGAGCGAAAGCAUGGGGAGCGAACAGGAUUAGAUACCCUGGUAGUCCAUGCCGUAAACGUUGGGAACUAGAUGUAGGGACCAUUCCACGGUUUCUGUGUCGCAGCUAACGCAUUAAGUUCCCCGCCUGGGGAGUACGGCCGCAAGGCUAAAACUCAAAGGAAUUGACGGGGGCCCGCACAAGCGGCGGAGCAUGCGGAUUAAUUCGAUGCAACGCGAAGAACCUUACCAAGGCUUGACAUAUACCGGAAAAGUUCAGAAAUGUUCUCCCCGCAAGGUCGGUAUACAGGUGGUGCAUGGUUGUCGUCAGCUCGUGUCGUGAGAUGUUGGGGUUAAGUCCCGCAACGAGCGCAAC
This 1034-nucleotide ribosomal RNA is filed under the name Frigoribacterium sp. 1152G29. RNAcentral describes it as "bacterial SSU rRNA". It matches the Rfam family "Bacterial small subunit ribosomal RNA", at positions 56 to 1102 of the family's 1533-position model. The record is from RNAcentral. Lineage: Bacteria; Bacillati; Actinomycetota; Actinomycetes; Micrococcales; Microbacteriaceae.